Molecule: ribosomal RNA, 442 nt
Filed under: uncultured bacterium
Lineage: Bacteria
Description: partial 16S ribosomal RNA
Rfam family: Bacterial small subunit ribosomal RNA
Source: RNAcentral
CCUACGGGUGGCAGCAGUGGGGAAUAUUGCACAAUGGGGGAAACCCUGAUGCAGCAACGCCGCGUGGGUGAAGGAGCGUUUCGGCGCGUAAAGCCCUGUCAGCGGGGAAGAGUAGAAGACGGUACCUCUUGAAUAAGCCACGGCUAACUACGUGCCAGCAGCCGCGGUAAUACGUAGGUGGCAAGCGUUGUCCGGAUUUACUGGGGGUAAAGGGCGUGUAGCCGGGCCGGCAAGUCAGAUGUGAAAUCCCAAGGCUCAACCUUGGAACUGCAUUUGAAACUGUUGGUCUGGAGUAUCGGAGAGGCAGGCGGAAUUCCUAGUGUAGCGGUGAAAUGCGUAGAUAUUAGGAGGAACACCAGUGGCGAAGGCGGCCUGCUGGACGACAACUGACGGUGAGGCGCGAAAGCGUGGGGAGCAAGCAGGAUUAGAUACCCUAGUAGUC